GAGUUUUGAGUCUUCCUCUUCUUUGCCUUAUCUUGUGAGCUAUGGUGAGCUUCAAGUGGUGGCACUCCAUCACUUAUCUUGGUUCAAGGUUCCAAGUGGCGUGAAUGGCUUCUUCCAAUUCUCAAAAUCCAGCAAGCAUCUUCUUCUAUAAGUGUUCUUCUUCCUUUUCUUCAAUUUCCAUUUGGUAGCUUAAUUUCCUAGUGUUUUCCUUCAUUUUUCUACCGUUUACAUUUCUGUUUUCAGCUUGGUUUCCAUUUAUUCUAUUUGGUUCAGUAGCUAGCUUUUCAAUUCUGUCCAGUUUUUAAUUCUUG
Molecule: long non-coding RNA, 311 nt
Filed under: Phaseolus vulgaris (common bean)
Lineage: Eukaryota; Viridiplantae; Streptophyta; Magnoliopsida; Fabales; Fabaceae
Description: long non-coding RNA (PVUL_LNC002226)
Source: RNAcentral